This 496-nucleotide ribosomal RNA is filed under the name uncultured bacterium. RNAcentral describes it as "partial 16S ribosomal RNA". It matches the Rfam family "Bacterial small subunit ribosomal RNA", at positions 29 to 507 of the family's 1533-position model. The record is from RNAcentral.
AUGAACGCUGGCGGCGUGCCUAAUACAUGCAAGUCGAGCGAACAGACGAGGAGCUUGCUCCUCUGACGUUAGCGGCGGACGGGUGAGUAACACGUGGAUAACCUACCUAUAAGACUGGGAUAACUUCGGGAAACGGGAGCUAAUACCGGAUAAUAUAUUGAACCGCAUGGUUCAAUAGUGAAAGACGGUUUUGCUGUCACUUAUAGAUGGAUCCGCGCCGCAUUAGCUAGUUGGUAAGGUAACGGCUUACCAAGGCAACGAUGCGUAGCCGACCUGAGAGGGUGAUCGGCCACACUGGAACUGAGACACGGUCCAGACUCCUACGGGAGGCAGCAGUAGGGAAUCUUCCGCAAUGGGCGAAAGCCUGACGGAGCAACGCCGCGUGAGUGAUGAAGGUCUUCGGAUCGUAAAACUCUGUUAUUAGGGAAGAACAAAUGUGUAAGUAACUAUGCACGUCUUGACGGUACCUAAUCAGAAAGCCACGGCUAACUACGUG